This 865-nucleotide ribosomal RNA is filed under the name uncultured bacterium. RNAcentral describes it as "bacterial SSU rRNA". It matches the Rfam family "Bacterial small subunit ribosomal RNA", at positions 20 to 883 of the family's 1533-position model. The record is from RNAcentral.
UGGCUCAGGAUGAACGCUGGCGGCGUGCCUAACACAUGCAAGUCGAACGGAACUUCUUUGACAGAAUUCUUCGGAAGGAAGUUGAUUAAGUUUAGUGGCGGACGGGUGAGUAACGCGUGAGUAACCUGCCUUUGAGAGGGGAAUAACUUCCCGAAAGGGAUGCUAAUACCGCAUGAUGCAUAUUUAUCGCAUGGUAGAUGUGCCAAAGAUUUAUCGCUCAAAGAUGGACUCGCGUCCGAUUAGCCAGUUGGCGGGGUAACGGCCCACCAAAGCGACGAUCGGUAGCCGGACUGAGAGGUUGAACGGCCACAUUGGGACUGAGACACGGCCCAGACUCCUACGGGAGGCAGCAGUGGGGGAUAUUGCGCAAUGGGGGAAACCCUGACGCAGCAACGCCGCGUGAAGGAUGAAGGUUUUCGGAUUGUAAACUUCUUUUAUUUAGGACGAACAAUGACGGUACUAAAUGAAUAAGCUCCGGCUAACUACGUGCCAGCAGCCGCGGUAAUACGUAGGGAGCAAGCGUUAUCCGGAUUUACUGGGUGUAAAGGGUGCGUAGGCGGCUUGGUAAGUCAGAUGUGAAAUGUAUAGGCUCAACCCAUGCACUGCAUUUGAAACUAUUGAGCUUGAGUGAAGUAGAGGUAGGCGGAAUUCCCUGUGUAGCGGUUAAAUGCGUAGAGAUAGGGAGGAACACCAGUGGCGAAGGCGGCCUACUGGGCUUUAACUGACGCUGAGGCACGAAAGCGUGGGUAGCAAACAGGAUUAGAUACCCUGGUAGUCCACGCUGUAAACGAUGAUUACUAGGUGUGGGGGGUCUGACCCCUUCCGAAAGGGAGUUAACACAAUAAGUAAUCCACCUGGGGAGUAC